RNAcentral lists this ribosomal RNA (501 nucleotides) under uncultured bacterium. Its description in RNAcentral is "bacterial SSU rRNA". It matches the Rfam family "Bacterial small subunit ribosomal RNA", at positions 10 to 507 of the family's 1533-position model. The record is from RNAcentral.
AGUUGAUCCUGGCUCAGAUUGAACGCUGGCGGCAUGCCUUACACAUGCAAGUCGAACGGCAGCACGGGAGCUUGCUCCUGGUGGCGAGUGGCGAACGGGUGAGUAAUACAUCGGAACGUACCCUGAAUGGGGGAUAACGUAGCGAAAGUUACGCUAAUACCGCAUAUUCUGUGAGCAGGAAAGAGGGGGAUCGCAAGACCUCUUGCUUUAGGAGCGGCCGAUGUCGGAUUAGCUAGUUGGUGAGGUAAAGGCUCACCAAGGCGACGAUCCGUAGCGGGUCUGGAGGAUGAUCCGCCACACUGGGACUGAGACACGGCCCAGACUCCUACGGGAGGCAGCAGUGGGGAAUUUUGGACAAUGGGCGCAAGCCUGAUCCAGCCAUGCCGCGUGAGUGAAGAAGGCCUUCGGGUUGUAAAGCUCUUUCGGUGGGGAAGAAAUUGCUUCGGUUAAUACCUGGAGUAGAUGACGGUACCCGCAUAAGAAGCACCGGCUAACUACGUG